UAUUCUGGUGUCUUAGGCGUAGAGGAACCACACCAAUCCAUCCCGAAUUUGGUGGUUAAACUCUAUUGCAGUGAAGAUACUGUAGGGGAAGUCCUGCGGAAAAAUAGCUCGGUGCCAGGAU
Molecule: ribosomal RNA, 121 nt
Filed under: Passiflora haematostigma
Lineage: Eukaryota; Viridiplantae; Streptophyta; Magnoliopsida; Malpighiales; Passifloraceae
Also listed under: 3 other names
Source: RNAcentral